Astatotilapia calliptera (eastern happy) is the source of this 1035-nucleotide long non-coding RNA. Lineage: Eukaryota; Metazoa; Chordata; Actinopteri; Cichliformes; Cichlidae. The record is from Ensembl.
CAGGGAGAGAGAAGUAAGUUUCUAGGUCAGCCUGGGAGCUGCUGAAUUUGAAUCCACCAAUCAGAGAGCCUGUGUACUUUUUCCCGCCAAAACAUGUGCAUCUUUUUACACACGCAGCACAGAGAGGCACAGGAUUAUUGCAGCCUAUUUCUCAUAGUGAGGACUCCCCUCAAACAAAUGACCAUAAUUUCCAAACUGUAGGGGCUAGAGCGGUCAUUCUUACACCGUUUUGUUCAGAAGAGAUGGGGGAAUCUUCCAGUGUUAACAAUUUAUCAUUAAAAUGUGAAUUUUUAGAGAUAUAUGACAUGGAUGACUUGUUGACUUAGAAGCCACGAAUUCCCCAAUAUGCAAAUAUGAAUGCCUGAGACCACAUAUAUGAUUGGCUGGCUGGGAAGCCGUGCAGGCCCUGAUUUGUGGAUUUGAAUUCCUCAGCCCUCAGAUAUGAUUGGCUGGCUUAGAAGCCAUGAAGGCCCCAAUAUGCAAAUUUGAAUGCCUCAGGACACAUAUAUGAUUGGCUGGGAAGCUGUGCAGGCCCUGAUUUGAAAAUUUGAAUUUCUCAGUCCUCACAGAGGAUUGGCUGCCUGGGGACCUGGCAGAAAUAUAUAGAAAUACUAUGAUUAAGCAUAAAUACUACAUUUAGUAGAAAUACUAUGUUUUAGCACAAAUACUAUAAAAAGCAGAAAUACUAUAUUAGGUACAAAUCCUAUAAAAAGCAGAAAUACUAUAUUAGGCACAAAUAGUAUAAAAAGCAGAAAUACUAUAAUUUAGCAGAAAUACUAUGUUAGGCACAAAUCCUAUAAAAAGAAUAAAUACUAUAAUUUAGCAGAAAUACUAUAUUAGGCACAAAUCUUAUGAAAAGCAGAAAUAGUAUGAUUUAGCAGAAUAGUAAUAACUUACAAAAUUACAAAUAUGGAGGCAUAUUGAAACACAAAUGCACAGAGGGACACACAAACACAGGCUCUAAUCCAGUCAACCAGUCUAACUAUGUUCAAUUUAAAUCCUACAAUGACAUGCUGCCAAAUAAGGGCAGGGUCC